AUGAUUAUACUCUUUAGGAUCAUUUUUAUAGUGACCUAACCGAGUCCACACAUUCACAUGUGCCACACCUUUAACUUCAUUCGAUGACACUGUUCACGCCGCCCUCACACCGAGAACCUCUGCCGCUUCACCGCGGCUCGAUGACGUGCGCGCAUGAGCGAAGCCGGCCGCUUGCGGCUGCGUUUUGCGAGUGCGCGGGGCGGGUGUGACUUUUCUGAUGAAGU
This 224-nucleotide small nucleolar RNA is filed under the name Calocera cornea HHB12733. RNAcentral's name for it is "Small nucleolar RNA U3". It matches the Rfam family "Small nucleolar RNA U3". From Rfam's summary of the family: Small nucleolar RNAs (snoRNAs) are involved in the processing and modification of rRNA in the nucleolus. There are two main classes of snoRNAs: the box C/D class, and the box H/ACA class. U3 snoRNA is a member of the box C/D class. Lineage: Eukaryota; Fungi; Basidiomycota; Dacrymycetes; Dacrymycetales; Dacrymycetaceae. The record is from Rfam by way of RNAcentral.